GUGCUCUCUUCAGCAGCACAUAUACUAAAAUUGGAAUGAUACAGAGAUUAACAUGGCCCUGCGCAAGGAUGACAUGCAAAUUUGUGAAGUGUUCCAUAUUUUU
RNAcentral lists this small nuclear RNA (103 nucleotides) under Myotis brandtii (Brandt's bat). The record is from RNAcentral. Lineage: Eukaryota; Metazoa; Chordata; Mammalia; Chiroptera; Vespertilionidae.